This 1792-nucleotide long non-coding RNA is filed under the name Setaria italica (foxtail millet). Its description in RNAcentral is "long non-coding RNA (SITA_LNC006627)". The record is from RNAcentral. Lineage: Eukaryota; Viridiplantae; Streptophyta; Magnoliopsida; Poales; Poaceae.
GUACAAACAAAUUCUUAAAAACUGUACAUCAUCCUCCAGACCUCCACUUACCAUUUGCAUCACUCCAUAUGUCAAAUCUCAAAUGAACUUGGUGUAAUAAACUACACUGAUUAUCAUGCAAUACUUCUUUUCAUAAGCUCAACCUGUCAUGGUGAAAGGCACUGCAUACAGUAUGUGGUGAAUGUGCCACAUGUGCUGGAAAAUGACAUCUUUUGGCUGCAUCAGAAAUUGUAUAGCAUACAAGUAAGCCCUGGAAUAAUUAAUUGACUGUAUAAGCUAAUAGGAAGAUGCUUAUCUGCCUAAGCAGCUCGCAAAAGCACUGAAAAUACUUAAGUCAGCACUCAAACCAAAAUGGUCAUCAUACCACUUUUUGAACAGUCAUAAAAAAAUUUAGUGGCUACAGUUUCAUGUUUUGUGUAUUUCUCCCCACGUAAAGAAAAUUCUCCACCAUUAUUAGAAGAUUCUUUUUAUGUGACUGCUAGAAGAAAUUUUCUUUAAUUGAAUUAAGUAAAUCUUUUUGUGCAGCUUAUAUUAAUGAAAAACGGAGGAAAUGUAAUCUACAGUGGGCCAAUAGGAGAGCAAUCUUGCAAAGUGAUUGAGUACUUUGAGGUAGUAUUGCUCAAAAUGAUUCCUGACUGUGUAUCUAUUCUUUAUUGUUCUUUAUUUUUAUCUUUUUUAAUUCAACUAAAAUUAAAAUUUGCAUGAUUCUUCGAUUCUUGAUUAUAUGAAAUAGCAUAGAAAAAUGCUUCUCUAAGUGGUUUUAGAGAUGUCUUUGUUCCAUCUAGGGACAGAGCAGCUAGUAGCCACACAACAACACCAGUUUCCAGUUGCUUUUCAUUUCACACAGUUGGUAAUCUUAUAUAAUUUGGUGUAUUUGAUUGAAGCCGUUUGUAUUCAUUAUCUAAGUUGGCUCACAGCUCACAAGAAAAACAGAGGUAUAGAAGUUUUGUGCUUCCAGCCUUGCAUUUUGCAUGUAGAAAUUGAUGGCUAGAUUUAGUGACAAGAAAUUAACAGCAUGAUAGUUUUUGUGGCAAAUGUACAUCCGUGGACUGUGGUUCUGUGCUAGUGUUUUGAGACAAGCCAUGAGACAUGACUAUGUCAUAUCCGAGUGUGUCCUUGUGUGCAUCACAUUAUUAUGAGGAAUUUGGUAAUAUACUAUUAUGAAAAUAACACCUAAAUUAGUGAAGAGGUCUUAAACUGGAUGGUGGGGAUGUGAAAACUGUACAUCCACACAUACCACCGAGCAAGGUUCAGUCACUGGUACCAGAAGGAAUUAAUAGAGUGAUCUGCUUCCUUGUAUCAAUAGAAAAUUUCCGGUGUCCCAAAAAUAGAGAAAAAUUGCAACCCUGCUACUUGGAUGAUGGACAUAACAUCGGCAUCCAUGGAGUUUCAACUCAAUAUAAACUUUGCAAGUGCCUACCAAGAAUCCCCAUUGCACAGGUACAUCGUAUUGCCACUUUAUUUCGCAUUUGAUGAUCAACUGGGAAUAAAUAUAUGCCUAAACUAAGCUAGAUACUGAAAAAAAAAUGUCAACAAAAUACCUCCAUUGAACUUACAAAGAUAAUAUUUUUUUCCCUCCAGGGACAUGCAAGAGAUUGUUGAGCAACUAAGUAAUCCAUUACCAAAUUCAGAAAACCUAUGUUUCUCCUAUCGUUUCCCACAGAGUCGAUGGGGGCAAUUUAAAGCUUGCUUAUGGAAACAGAAUAUAACUUACUGGAGAAGUCCUCAAUAUAAUCUGAAUCGCAUUGUGAUGACAGUAAUGAUAGCCUUGAUCUUCGGAGUAUUGUACUGG